GAUGAAGAACGUAGCGAGAUGCGAUAAGUAAUGUGAAUUGCAGAAUUCAGUGAAUCAUCGAAUCUUUGAACGCACCUUGCGCCCUUUGGCUAUUCCGAAGGGCAUGCCUGUUUGAGUAUCAUGAACACCUCAACUCUUCACGGCUUGCCGUGAUGAGUUUGGACUUUGGGGGUCUUGCUGGCCUACGAGCCAGCUCCUCUCAAAUGUAUUAGCUUGCCGGUGUUUGGUGGCAUCACAGGUGUGAUAACUAUCUACGCUUGUGGUUUUCCACUAGGUAACCUUCAGCAAUGGAGGUUCACCGGAGCUCACAAAUGUCUCUCCUUGCCAAGGACAGAUUUUGACCAUUUGAUCUCAAAUCAGGUAGGACUACCCGCUGAACUUAAGCAUAUCAAUAAGCGGAGGA
RNAcentral lists this unclassified non-coding RNA (403 nucleotides) under soil metagenome. Its description in RNAcentral is "partial contains 5.8S ribosomal RNA, internal transcribed spacer 2, and large subunit ribosomal RNA". The stretch from base 1 to 121 matches the Rfam family "5.8S ribosomal RNA", at positions 35 to 154 of the family's 154-position model. The record is from RNAcentral.